UAGGGAAUCUUCCGCAAUGGGCGAAAGCUUGACGGAGCAACGCCGCGUGAGUGAUGAAGGUCUUCGGAUCGUAAAACUCUGUUAUUAGGGAAGAACAAAUGUGUAAGUAACUAUGCACGUCUUGACGGUACCUAAUCAGAAAGCCACGGCUAACUACGUGCCAGCAGCCGCGGUAAUACGUAGGUGGCAAGCGUUAUCCGGAAUUAUUGGGCGUAAAGCGCGCGUAGGCGGUUUUUUAAGUCUGAUGUGAAAGCCCACGGCUCAACCGUGGAGGGUCAUUGGAAACUGGAAAACUUGAGUGCAGAAGAGGAAAGUGGAAUUCCAUGUGUAGCGGUGAAAUGCGCAGAGAUAUGGAGGAACACCAGUGGCGAAGGCGACUUUCUGGUCUGUAACUGACGCUGAUGUGCGAAAGCGUGGGGAGCGAACAGG
This 429-nucleotide ribosomal RNA is filed under the name Bacteroidota bacterium. Its description in RNAcentral is "Bacteroidetes bacterium partial 16S ribosomal RNA". It matches the Rfam family "Bacterial small subunit ribosomal RNA", at positions 355 to 776 of the family's 1533-position model. Lineage: Bacteria; Pseudomonadati; Bacteroidota. The record is from RNAcentral.